This 301-nucleotide ribosomal RNA is filed under the name uncultured bacterium. Its description in RNAcentral is "partial 16S ribosomal RNA". It matches the Rfam family "Bacterial small subunit ribosomal RNA", at positions 509 to 807 of the family's 1533-position model. The record is from RNAcentral.
CAGUCGCCGCGGGAAAACGAAGGGGGCUAGCGUUGCUCGGAAUGACUGGGCGUAAAGCGUGCGUAGGUGGUGGUUUAAGUCCGUUGUGAAAGCCCUGGGCUCAACCUGGGAAUUGCAGUGGAUACUGGAUCACUAGAGUGUGGUAGAGGAUAGUGGAAUUUCCGGUGUAGCAGUGAAAUGCGUAGAGAUCGGGAGGAACAUCAGUGGCGAAGGCGGCCAUCUGGGACAACACUGACGCUGAGGCACGAAAGCGUGGGGAGCAAACAGGAUUAGAUACCCCAGUAGUCCCUGUCUCUUAUAC